GGCGUGCUUAACACAUGCAAGUCGAACGAGAGAAGAUUGGUGCUUGCACUGAUCCGAUCGAGUGGCGGACGGGUGAGUAACGCGUGGGUAACCUGCCUCAUACAGGGGAAUAACAGUUGGAAACGGCUGCUAAAACCGCAUAAGCGCACAGUAUCGCAUGAUACAGUGUGAAAAACUCCGGUGGUAUGAGAUGGACCCGCGUCUGAUUAGCUAGUUGGUGAGGUAACGGCCCACCAAGGCGACGAUCAGUAGCCGGCCUGAGAGGGUGAACGGCCACAUUGGGACUGAGACACGGCCCAAACUCCUACGGGAGGCAGCAGUGGGGAAUAUUGCACAAUGGGGGAAACCCUGAUGCAGCGACGCCGCGUGAGUGAUGAAGUAUUUCGGUAUGUAAAGCUCUAUCAGCAGGGAAGAUAAUGACGGUACCUGACUAAGAAGCACCGGCUAAAUACGUGCCAGCAGCCGCGGUAAUACGUAUGGUGCAAGCGUUAUCCGGAUUUACUGGGUGUAAAGGGUGCGUAGGUGGUGAGACAAGUCUGAAGUGAAAAUCCGGGGCUUAACCCCGGAACUGCUUUGGAAACUGCCUGACUAGAGUACAGGAGAGGUAAGUGGAAUUCCUAGUGUAGCGGUGAAAUGCGUAGAUAUUAGGAGGAACACCAGUGGCGAAGGCGACUUACUGGACUGCUACUGACACUGAGGCACGAAAGCGUGGGGAGCAAACAGGAUUAGAUACCCUGGUAGUCCACGCCGUA
Molecule: ribosomal RNA, 752 nt
Filed under: uncultured bacterium
Lineage: Bacteria
Description: bacterial SSU rRNA
Rfam family: Bacterial small subunit ribosomal RNA
Source: RNAcentral